GACGAACGCUGGCGGCGUGCUUAACACAUGCAAGUCGAACGGAAAGGCCCUGCUUUUGUGGGGUGCUCGAGUGGCGAACGGGUGAGUAACACGUGAGUAACCUGCCCUUGACUUUGGGAUAACUUCAGGAAACUGGGGCUAAUACCGGAUAGGAGCUCCUGCUGCAUGGUGGGGGUUGGAAAGUUUCGGCGGUUGGGGAUGGACUCGCGGCUUAUCAGCUUGUUGGUGGGGUAGUGGCUUACCAAGGCUUUGACGGGUAGCCGGCCUGAGAGGGUGACCGGCCACAUUGGGACUGAGAUACGGCCCAGACUCCUACGGGAGGCAGCAGUGGGGAAUAUUGCACAAUGGGCGGAAGCCUGAUGCAGCAACGCCGCGGGCGGGAUGACAGCCUUCGGGUUGUAAACCGCUUUCGCCUGUGACGAAGCGUGAGUGACGGUAAUGGGUAAAGAAGCACCGGCUAACUACGUG
Molecule: ribosomal RNA, 468 nt
Filed under: uncultured bacterium
Lineage: Bacteria
Description: partial 16S ribosomal RNA
Rfam family: Bacterial small subunit ribosomal RNA
Source: RNAcentral